This is a non-coding RNA of Lupinus albus (white lupine), 1114 nucleotides long. Lineage: Eukaryota; Viridiplantae; Streptophyta; Magnoliopsida; Fabales; Fabaceae. The record is from the annotation of a GenBank genome assembly.
ACGGCGCUAUUCUGUUGUACCGAGUCUUACUCUCCCUCAGAAACCCUAAUUAAUUUUUCCUAUAAAUUAAUACCUUGUGCUAUGUUUCACAACGCCGCUCUUGUGUUAAGCAUUUCGUCUCAAACUUUCCUGGUUCUUUAUUUUCAAUUUGUUUUCAUGUCUUAUUUGAUUUCAUUUCUUAUUUGAUUUCAAUUUCAGUUUCUUUAUUAAAACUAUUUGUAUAUUGGAAUGAAAAAGAGAUCACAGUGAUGACCACAUAAUAUUCAAGCUCAACAGACCGGAAUGCAGGGUUCUCUCUCUUAUUAGAGAUUACUUUGCGUGUCGACUACCCCGCUGAACUGAGUGAUCUCUUUCUUGAAAAUUUUCUUUUUCUUUUCUCUUUUUAUUUUUUCAGUUAACUGUAUGUGUUUGGGUAAAGAGUUUUCACGAUGAGGAUAAAAAGCUCCCUCUUCUGAAAUCUUUGAGGAAGUCCGCUGGCAGAAUCGAACCUUAAAACUUAUUGCCACCACUGAUUGUUAUCACUCUUUCCCCAUAUUCGUUUUUAUUAACCAUAUUGUGUUUUUUGUAAUGUGAUUUCUUAAAAUUAUAACAUGGCUUUUUUAUAUUAAAUUGUUUUCUCUGGGUGAGGUUGGUGAUGAGUUUAAUAGUUUGUCUACAUUGGAUGAUUAUCUGCAUUUGGAUAUAUUUACAAAUUAUCUGAGGUCUCCAAACUUAGUUAUUUUUAUGUCCUCAUAUACUUUUUGAGCUUAUAUAGAGUAGCCAAAGUAAAUAAUGAACUUGUUCCCAUCCAAGGAGCUCAUAUGAACUUCAAUGAAGUUUGUUACCGUGAAUGUCAUACUGGUGUAAAAGAGAUCCAAUUACAUGAUCCUAAGAGCUCCCAGAGGUGCUAAAUUAUAGGCAUUGUAGUCAUCCAUAAAUUGACACCCUAGCAAUAAAUUUAAAACAAACUGUCCAUCCUAGCCCAUAAUUUAUUUCUUCAAUAAUGGUUGAGAUUUGUUGUAUAUACCUUGUGUAAUAAUUUCUACCAUAUCUAUCCCAAAUUCCUAUGUAUGUUUCAUAUUUAACAAUUCUAUUAAGAUGGGUGAUCUUGUCCUAAAAUUAAGUGGGAACGUCG